AGAAGCUGUUCGAUGGACAGAGAUGAUUCGGGCAUCACGAGAAAAUCCAGCCAUGCAGGAAAAAAAAAGGUCAAGCAUUUGGCAGUUUUUCAGCCGACUUUUCAGCUCCUCAAGUAACACGACUAAGAAGCCUGAACCACCUGUUAAUCUGAAGUACAAUGCACCCACGUCUCAUGUUACUCCAUCCGUCAAGAAAAGAAGCAGCACCUUAUCUCAGCUCCCUGGGGAUAAGUCCAAAGCCUUUGAUUUCCUUAGUGAAGAGUAAGUCUUUUCCAAAUUAAUCAUUAUAUUC
RNAcentral lists this small RNA (292 nucleotides) under Pan troglodytes (chimpanzee). RNAcentral's name for it is "retained intron". Lineage: Eukaryota; Metazoa; Chordata; Mammalia; Primates; Hominidae. The record is from RNAcentral.